Anser brachyrhynchus (Pink-footed goose) is the source of this 2227-nucleotide long non-coding RNA. NCBI's taxonomy places the organism in Eukaryota, Metazoa, Chordata, Aves, Anseriformes, Anatidae. The record is from Ensembl.
UGCUGUAUGUGGAUUUCUAACAACAUGAUAAAACAUUCUCAAGAAUAACUUUGUUUCAUCACUAUUUAAAAACCUUGGUGCCUCCCAAACACAGCACAGAAAUCGAGCAGAGGAGAUAGACUUUGGAGACAAAACACACCAACUAAAACGUAUCGUCGUGCACAAACAUGUUACCAGAAACAAUGGAAUAAGAUCAACAAUAUGUAUUAGAAAACUUCUGAAACUAUAUCAUAAGAACACCACCCAAAAACCCAAGGUGUCCCUUUUCUCUCAGCAAUCCCUGGGCAAUCAAGGGAGACUACUUCCUCUUGAUACUCAGGCUGAAAACAAUGGUUCAAAGAAGAUUAAUUCCAAGGAUUUUUGAACAGGUCUAUGCUAGCCAUCUUAAACUGCGAUAGCAAUGGAGCAAGCCGUACAACUUGACAGGUCAACAACAUCAUGACAUGGCGGUGCCAACCGCAGCCGCUCCUCGCGGCACAACAUGGUGCCCUGCCCCUCACACCGCGCCACUGCCGCACUCUUACCUUACCAGGGGCCACAGACCCUGCCGGAUUCUGGAAGUGUCAGCCUCAAAAGAAAGCACAGCCCAAGCCGCUGCUCACUUCACCUUGCUCUCCCUGCAGACAGCACGGCAGCCCACAGCCAAGUAGUGCCAGCGCUGGAAGCUUCCUGAAGGUGGGCGGCAACCGGGGCGGCACAGCCGGGCCUUGCCUCACAGUGGCCCGCAUGCUGUCCCUGCGCUGUGGCUGCCCAGCUGCUGGCAGGCGUUUUCGUGGCUUCUGCAAGCAACUUGUGCAGGACUUGUGCAGAGGGACAAUCUGUCAUGAAAAUACCAGGAGACAGAAACAUACCUCUGUGCAGUCCCUUCAAUUGUUCACUGCAGACACAAAGGAUAGAGCAAAGCUACGGGUGAGGCAGAAAGGCGUUAGAACCCCUAGAAGGAGCAAAGGAAGGUGCUGCAUUUAUCCCAUUGCUUGUCGGAUGAAAAUGGCCAGGGUGUUUGAAACACUCUUGACAAUCCUUUCCUUACAGUCUUACAAAACUCUCCUGUCACGAUGGUGGGGCUUCUCUUCAUCUUUGUUACUAGCUAAGGUUCAAGCAGAACCGCUGGAUCCAUCGCAGCUCAUCCCUAGCCACCCCUCUGAAGGGUGGCUGAUAGCUCUCCGUGCUGCAGUGGCUGGUGCUGGGGGGCUCCAUCGCUCUCGCGCACGACAAACUGGCACGUAGGUGCAAAACUGUUGUCUGUUGGAAUAUGCCUCUCAUGGACUUGGCUGUUGUAGAAAUCCCCUGUCACGACAGCUCAGCGAAACAGGUAUGAGAAGGAUUGACAGCCAGGCUUAAUCCGUGUGCCAUCAACACGACGUAAACCAAACUGCAUGCUGCUUUUGUAUUUUGUCCCUUUGUUGCUUAUGUAUGCCUUAUUUCCCAUUUUAUUAAAAAAAAAUAUGUUGAUAAAUAAGUGUAUUAGAGUUGUGGCCUUAAUCUCCUCAGCUUUGUGCUGCACUGCGGCUGGGACACGAACCCUCUUUGUGGGUGAUGUUCUGUUCGUGCAUAAUGAGGCACCGCUGCUGCACGGAUAUAUAUGGGACCAGGAAAAACGAAGUGACAACUUAUUUCACUAAAUUCCUAGAAUUUAGUACCCAACAUAGUAAAAUACAAUGGGCGAUUGGUCAAACUCGGGCAACUGAAAUACAACGUGGAAACGUAACCUAGAAGAAAAGGAAUUACGUCUGGUCUGUGGUAUUUUAGCGUGGUUAAUGGCCAUGCAAUUGUUCAUUCUGGUCCAUGUUCAAAGCCUCUCAUUGAAUAUAUGAGUUAACAGGUAAAAAUGGAGGCACUUCACUGAAUGACUGGGGAUUUUUACAAGGUGUUUUUAGAACUCUCUCAUCCUCUCCCUGCAUACCUUUUUCAGAGAGAUUGUGGUGUUUAAACUAUAUUUAGCGAUAAAAGUGAGACAUUACCUACAUCCUGCUAUAGCGGAGAAGGUAAAUCAAGGCUUUCACAUCCAUUUCCAAACUACUUUUAAAGGCCACACGCAGAAGAUUAGGCUCUUAGGGUUAAGUGCAAGUUUUCUCGUUCAGCAGAACAGCGCCUAGAACUGCCUCCUCACCCCAGAGCGGAGCACAGCGAAAACGCUAUUUACCAGCAAUUACUGCCUUCACUAAGAAGCGCCUACUGCAGGCAUCUGGCAAAGCGCUGCCAGUAACUCCAGGUCCCCCAGUCGCUA